RNAcentral lists this ribosomal RNA (466 nucleotides) under uncultured bacterium. RNAcentral describes it as "bacterial SSU rRNA". It matches the Rfam family "Bacterial small subunit ribosomal RNA", at positions 8 to 518 of the family's 1533-position model. The record is from RNAcentral.
AGGGUUCGAUUCUGGCUCAGAACGAACGCUGGCGGCAGGCCUAACACAUGCAAGUCGAGCGCGCCCUUCGGGGUGAGCGGCGGACGGGUUAGUAACGCGUGGGAACGUACCCUUUGGUAGGGAAUAGCCACUGGAAACGGUGAGUAAUACCCUAUGAGCCCUUCGGGGGAAAGAUUUUAUCGCCAAAGGAUCGGCCCGCGUUAGAUUAGGUAGUUGGUGGGGUAAUGGCCUACCAAGCCUACGAUCUAUAGCUGGUUUUAGAGGAUGAUCAGCAACACUGGGACUGAGACACGGCCCAGACUCCUACGGGAGGCAGCAGUGGGGAAUCUUGGACAAUGGGGGCAACCCUGAUCCCAGCCAUGCCGCGUGAGUGAAGAAGGCCUUAGGGUCGUAAAGCUCUUUCGCCUGUGAAGAUAAUGACGGUAGCAGGUAAAGAAACCCCGGCUAACUCCGUGCCAGCCGCUGC